This is a long non-coding RNA of Oxyura jamaicensis (ruddy duck), 301 nucleotides long. RefSeq lists it as uncharacterized. The transcript has 2 exons. NCBI's taxonomy places the organism in Eukaryota, Metazoa, Chordata, Aves, Anseriformes, Anatidae. The record is from RefSeq and is a predicted model, not a curated record.
CCUUGGCGGUGCGCCUUGCCCUGCCUUCCAGCGGCAGGGGCGUUUAACGACAGGCACCCCCCUGAAACAACUUCUGGCUCUCGUUGUCAUCUCCUGGAAGAAAUCCUUUAAUCCUCUUCUGGGAGACUUUCCAACCUUAUGCGUACCUCGAAUCCCUGCUGUGAAAGCCUUUGGGGAAAAGCCUUUUGGUUUUGUGUAUGUAAUGUAAAGAAGGAAGAACACGGGUAUCAGGCGUGUUUGGUUUCCUUUUGUUCACUUGUAAGGUUCAGGACUUGCGGAAGAACACGUAGCUAAACCUGUA